CGCUUGUUCUUUAAUAAGGAGGGGUAGCACCGGCAUCCCGAGGGCUGAACUGUCCCCCCUUUCAAAUCCGGGAAUCUGACCUCUUCGUGAAGAACCGUUAAUGUAAAAAUAAGACGAUAAUACCCCAUGGAGCUUAAAACCAAGUAGCACAAUUUUUCUAAUACACCUUAAAAAAUAGGACACCUGCUACUUAUUUUUUGGCUGGGGCAUCCAAGGAGUUGAAUCUAACCUCCCUGACAACAUUCCAACAGUUACAACUCUAAUAGGCACUUCACUGAUGUAAAAUGACCCGAGUAUCGAUCAACGAACCAAGUUACCGUGGGGAUAACAGCGCAAUCCAUUUUGAGAGCCCCUAUCGACGAAUGGGUUUACGACCUCGAUGUUGGAUCAGGGUAUCCCAUUGGUGCAUCCGCUACUAAAGGUUCGUUUGUUCAACGAUUAAAACCCUACGUGAUCUGAUU
RNAcentral lists this ribosomal RNA (461 nucleotides) under Phrynobatrachus sp. BMNH 2018.5866. RNAcentral describes it as "partial large subunit ribosomal RNA". It matches the Rfam family "Bacterial large subunit ribosomal RNA", at positions 1966 to 2610 of the family's 2925-position model. The record is from RNAcentral. Lineage: Eukaryota; Metazoa; Chordata; Amphibia; Anura; Phrynobatrachidae.